Molecule: ribosomal RNA, 129 nt
Filed under: Neogale vison (American mink)
Lineage: Eukaryota; Metazoa; Chordata; Mammalia; Carnivora; Mustelidae
Source: RNAcentral
GUCUACGGCCAUACCACCCUGAAUGCGCCCGAUCUCGUCUGAUCUCGGAAGCUAAGCAGGGUCGGGCCUGGUUAGUACUUGGAUGGGGGACCUCUUUUUCUCAGUAUUCACUAAGGCAUUACGUUAUCC